Echinostoma caproni is the source of this 82-nucleotide non-coding RNA. The record is from Rfam. Lineage: Eukaryota; Metazoa; Platyhelminthes; Trematoda; Plagiorchiida; Echinostomatidae.
GGCCUCGUAGCUCAGCUGGUAGAGCGUGCGCGUACCAAGUGUGGAUGGCAUCUAUGCGUGGGUUCGGAUCCCACCGAGGCUA